CGCGGGUCAACUGGGGGUCAGAUCCUCUUGACGACCUUCUCCAGCAAUACCUCCGUCGUUAUUCUCUCAGAGCCACAUUUAAACUACUCAAAAUUCCAUCUGGAAUUCAAGACCUCACAGGAAAAUGAAACAUGAAGUGCCAACAUUUUGCUUUACAAAGCUUUUACGAAAGUCCCUGGUUUUGAAUCUGCAAAGAAAUCAUAGUAGAAAGUUAUACUUCUAAGGAGAAGACUAUGGAAUCAUUGGAAUUCUCUAGGAACACCUCUUUUUCUUCAUCUCUAUUCCAAAUUACAACUUUCAGUGCUAUUUUAUACCAGAAUGAUAAGAAAAUGGAAGAACACAAAGCUGAGGGAAUUUGCUCACUGUUGCAUAGAUACUAAAGGAUGAAAUCCA
Long non-coding RNA from Prionailurus viverrinus (fishing cat), 393 nucleotides. RefSeq lists it as uncharacterized. The transcript is spliced from 5 exons. The record is from RefSeq and is a predicted model, not a curated record. Lineage: Eukaryota; Metazoa; Chordata; Mammalia; Carnivora; Felidae.